GGUAGGGAAACCAAGAAUAAAGACACUAACCAGCUUCUCCAAUUUCACAUGACUAAGAGGAAAGGAGCUAAGAUUUAAACCAGGAGCCUUUGCCAUGUCCCUUCCUUCCAGACUGUGACAUGAGAUCUCCACCUGAAUGUUCAGAGUACAGGCUUUUUCUAGGCAGAGGUGCAUGACAUUUUCACAAGGUCUCUGUGGCCUCUGCCUUUGCUGCAGAGGCUUUCAGGUCCGCUGGAAGAGAGCAUCCAAAUGGAAUUAACAUGUGGAGAAAGGAGGAGCAAAAAGGAAGGCCUUGAGUUUAGCAGAAAGACUGUCUGUGGUGUCUGGGCGCUGCUAUGGGCUGCUGAACGGAAAAUGAGUGCUUCACAAAUAAAACAAGGACGCCAGUGAGAACAGAAUUAUAACCCAGAGACACCUUACACAGAGCUGUUAAAUGAUACUGAGAGGGACAACUUUGACGCACUUGAGGCCUCACCCACGGAAAGGUGAAAGCUUCAUUCAGCUGCCCAGCUUCACAGGGUCACUUGUUGAGCUGCAGGGGAUGAGACCUUAUUGGGUUUGGCUGCUGUGAGCUCUUCAGCUUUUAAUUAUGGUGUUUAGAAGACAAUGGAGACAGCUUAAAAUAAUAAGAAUGCUGCUAAAACGGGCCUGAUUGCUGCAUGGUACAAAGAGGAGCGUUGGCGCUCUGUGUACAGUACACACUUAACCUGUCAGCAAACAGCAGCUUCCAGGUACUGUGCAAAGGGGUGCAUUAGAAAGCGUCACAAGGACGAUGAGCUUUUUAGUUUGGCUUUCAAAAUGAGCUGUUUAAGUUGUAAUACUGGCUUACUAUAAAUUAGAGUUUAUCCUUUGGAAAUCACUUGCAAUUUGCUUCUGUUGGGCCGCAGGUCAUUAUGAGGCUGUUACAGGUUCCCGGAACAUAAUGUGAUUCAGGCCCACAUUCCUGUUGCCAUAUUCGAUUCAGCUGGAAAUGAGAAUUACAGCGAGAGCCCUGCCUGGUCUUUGACCCUUUGCACGAGCUUUUUAAAAGCAGGGUUUAUGCACAACACUAACCUCUUUCUUAGACAUUCAGUAACGCCUAAUAGCAGCUGGGGUGAAACGCUGAAGCAAAUUGCAAACUGUUGAGAAAUAUCUCACACCAAAUUUAAGAACAGUGGGCACUUACCUUCCAGUUCCCUUCCUUAACAGGCAGAAAAAUUUGCUUGUGAAAGGGGGUGAUAUUCAAAUGUUAAAAAGGAUUUUUCUUUGUUCCCUGCCACAAUAUAAUCAGGCAACACAAAAGACAGUUGUUUUAAAAUUUCUGGGCUGUAACUGAUUGAGGACAGAUGAUGAUAUUUGGAAAAUAAUAUCCACACGUCGAGUACAUUUAAUAUGCCAACUUCAACAUCAACCUUCUUGCUAAUUCUUUACAAAAGUCCUGCUACUAAGACCCCCAUUGUACAAAUGAGUGGAGCUUAGGAAGCUGCCUCAGAUAACUGGCAGAGGGGGAUCCUGCUCCUGAGUGCAUGCUUUGUACCCUUCCCUCAGGAUGGGAGGUGAUCUGAAAGGAGCAUACCUGGACUCCAGGGAGUAGACUUGGCAUAUUAAAGACACUUGUAAGGCAAAUCUAUGUCAUAUGAGCUUUGGGAAAAACAAAAAUAAAUGACUAAUUCAUCAAGCAAA
Cavia porcellus (domestic guinea pig) is the source of this 1662-nucleotide long non-coding RNA. RefSeq lists it as uncharacterized. NCBI's taxonomy places the organism in Eukaryota, Metazoa, Chordata, Mammalia, Rodentia, Caviidae. The transcript has 4 exons. The record is from RefSeq and is a predicted model, not a curated record.